GAUGAACGCUGGCGGCGUGCCUAAUACAUGCAAGUCGAGCGAACAGACGCUGCGCUUGCGCCUUGCACGUUUGCGGCGCGCGGGUGAGUAACACGUGUAUAACCCCCCUAUCAUACUGAGAUCACUUCGGGAAACCGGAUAUUAUACCGGAGAAUAUAUUGCUCCGUAUGGUGGAAUAGUAAAAUACGGCUUUUCGGUCACUAAUAGAUGGAUAUGCGCUGCAUUAGCUAGUUGGUACGGUAACAGCUUACCAAGGCGACGAUGCGUAGACGAACUGAGAGAGUGGUCGGCCACAUUGGAACUGAGACACGGACCAGACUCCUACGGGACGCAGCAGUAGGGAAUGUUCCGCAGUGGGCGAAAGCCUGACGGAGCAACGGCGCGUGAGAGAUGACAGCGCUCGGAGCGUAAAGCUCUGUUAUGAGGGAAAAACCACUGUGUAAGGAACCAAAGAGGUAGUGACGGUACCUAAUCAGAAAGCAACGGCUAACUACGUG
RNAcentral lists this ribosomal RNA (497 nucleotides) under uncultured bacterium. Its description in RNAcentral is "partial 16S ribosomal RNA". It matches the Rfam family "Bacterial small subunit ribosomal RNA", at positions 28 to 507 of the family's 1533-position model. The record is from RNAcentral.